GACGUAGGGCGCGAGCGUUGUCCGGAUUUAUUGGGCGUAAAGAGCUCGUAGGCGGCUUGUCGCGUCGACCGUGAAAACUUGGGGCUCAACCCCAAGCCUGCGGUCGAUACGGGCAGGCUCGAGUUCGGUAGGGGAGACUGGAAUUCCUGGUGUAGCGGUGAAAUGCGCAGAUAUCAGGAGGAACACCAAUGGCGAAGGCAGAUCUCUGGGCCGUAACUGACGCUGAGGAGCGAAAGCAUGGGGAGCGAACAGG
RNAcentral lists this ribosomal RNA (253 nucleotides) under uncultured bacterium. RNAcentral's name for it is "partial 16S ribosomal RNA". It matches the Rfam family "Bacterial small subunit ribosomal RNA", at positions 524 to 776 of the family's 1533-position model. The record is from RNAcentral.